RNAcentral lists this ribosomal RNA (301 nucleotides) under Mycoplasmoides genitalium. RNAcentral's name for it is "bacterial LSU rRNA". It matches the Rfam family "Bacterial large subunit ribosomal RNA", at positions 1155 to 1474 of the family's 2925-position model. Lineage: Bacteria; Bacillati; Mycoplasmatota; Mycoplasmoidales; Mycoplasmoidaceae. The record is from RNAcentral.
GGCUCUGUGCCGAUAAUUCAACGGGACUAAAACACAAUACCGAAGCUACGGGUAGAAAUACGUUAGAGGAGCGUUCUAAGGGCCUUGAAGCUAGACCGUAAGGACUAGUGGAGCGCUUAGAAGUGAGAAUGCCGGUAUGAGUAACGAUUCAAAGUGAGAAUCUUUGACGCCUAUUGGGGAAGGUUUCCUGGGCAAGGUUCGUCCACCCAGGGUUAGUCGGGUCCUAAGACGAGGCCGAAGGGCGUAGCCGAUGGACAACAGGUUAAUAUUCCUGUACUUUCUUGAGAGUGAUGUAGUGACG